Long non-coding RNA from Gadus macrocephalus (Pacific cod), 436 nucleotides. RefSeq lists it as uncharacterized. The record is from RefSeq and is a predicted model, not a curated record. NCBI's taxonomy places the organism in Eukaryota, Metazoa, Chordata, Actinopteri, Gadiformes, Gadidae. The transcript is spliced from 2 exons.
UCCUGGCUGGACUUCUUGCCUCUGCAAUUAAACUUUUGCAGCGCAUCCAGAAUGCGGCAGCGCACCUCGUGUUCAACCUACCGAAGUUCUCCCAUGUGACCCCCCUCUUCCGGGACCUCCCUGGCUCCCUGUACAUUGCUAAAGCCACACACCCCAGCUCGAUCCCUCCGCUCAACUACCUUAGCAGGACGUCUGGUACCGCCAUCGCUAAGAGCUAGCAAAGGCCGUUCAGCAAAGUCACAACUUUUCUCGAUUUGGGACCUCAGUGAUGGAACGAGCUCCCUGCCGCUCUCAGGACCGCAGAGUCGCUCACUAUCUUCAGAAAAAGACUCAAGACUCACCUGUUCAGAGUCCACCUCGACACUGCAUAGCCACCCUCCCCCUUCUGGCCACCAUUGUACACUGUAUUGUAUUAUGUUGUAUUGUAUUGUAUUAU